AAAAUUUUAGAUAAAUUCUGCUCAAUGAAUAAAUUAAAUAGCUGCAGUAAAUUAACUGUACUAAGGUAGCAUAAUAAAUUGCUUUAUAAUUAAAAGCUUGAAUGAAGGAAAUAAUGUGAAACAAGCUUUUUAACCUAAAAUAGUGAAAAUUAAUAUUUAAGUGAAAAAUCUUAAAUAGAAUCAAAAGACAAGAAGACCCUUUAGAACUUUACAGACUAACCUAAUCUCAUUAGGUUAAUUUGUUAAAUUGGGGAGAUUUUUAAAUAAAUAAAUCUUUAGAUAUAAAAAAAUGAUUUUAAUCAAAUUAAAUUAUCCAAGUAUGAAAUAAAACGAGUUACCUAAGGGAUAACAGCGCAAAAUUUUUGAGAAGUUCUCAUUUACAAAAUAAAUUGCGACCUCGAUGUUGGAUUAAGAACAACUUAUAAAGAAAAGUUUAUAAGAGUUGGUCUGUUCGCCCAAAUAAAUCUU
RNAcentral lists this ribosomal RNA (468 nucleotides) under Bemisia tabaci. Its description in RNAcentral is "partial large subunit ribosomal RNA". Lineage: Eukaryota; Metazoa; Arthropoda; Insecta; Hemiptera; Aleyrodidae. The record is from RNAcentral.